AGCAUAUCAAUAAGCGGAGGAAAAGAAACCAACAGGGAUUGCCUCAGUAACGGCGAGUGAAGCGGCAAAAGCUCAAAUUUGAAAUCUGGCUCUUUCAGGGUCCGAGUUGUAAUUUGUAGAAGAUGCUUCGGGUGUGGUCCCGGUCUAAGUUCCUUGGAACAGGACGUCAUAGAGGGUGAGAAUCCCGUAUGUGACUGGGUACCUACGCUCAUGUGAAGCUCUUUCGACGAGUCGAGUUGUUUGGGAAUGCAGCUCAAAAUGGGUGGUAAAUUUCAUCUAAAGCUAAAUAUUGGCCAGAGACCGAUAGCGCACAAGUAGAGUGAUCGAAAGAUGAAAAGCACUUUGGAAAGAGAGUUAAACAGUACGUGAAAUUGUUGAAAGGGAAGCGCUUGCAAUCAGACUUGCGCCUAGUUGAUCAUCCGGGCUUCUGCCCGGUGCACUCGAUUAGGCUCAGGCCAGCAUCGGUUUGGGUGGUUGGAUAAAGGCUUGGGGAACGUAGCCUCCUUCGGGGGGUGUUAUAGCCCCAGGUGCAAUGCAGCCUACCUGGACCGAGGACCGCGCUUCGGCUAGGAUGCUGGCGUAAUGGUUGUAAGCGACCCGU
Molecule: ribosomal RNA, 601 nt
Filed under: uncultured fungus
Lineage: Eukaryota; Fungi
Description: eukaryotic LSU rRNA
Rfam family: Eukaryotic large subunit ribosomal RNA
Source: RNAcentral